CCGCGGGGGAGCCCAAGGGGAGCCCGCCUGGACCCCCAGGCCCGUCUCGGCUCGGGGGUGCAGGACGCACAAACUCCGCUGAAUUUUGCCCCCGCUGAGCUCAGAGACACCUUGAAAACUCUGGUUAAGCGAGGUAAAACCUUGCCAGCAUUAAUGCCCUGCACUCGUAUGGAAUAUGAGCCGGAUAGAACAUGAGGAGUAUGGCAGCAAGGUCACAAAAAACAUCCCUCGUGCCACCCCAGCACCACCAGAGCCCUGAAGUGAUGCAGAGGGAAGAAGAGCAUCGGGCAGCAGCAUCGCCUGGGGCUCGUGGAGACGGAGGAGAGCAAAUUUCGGAGACAGUGUCAGGGCACAGCAGCUGUUACCCUGAGUUUGGUGGCUACAGGCUACAAAGGACCUGUCCAAAAACAAGCUCGUCACUGCCACUCGAUAAAAACACGAGGACUCGGUGUCCCUUGCCCUCUGUGUUGCGUAAAAAGUGAUGCUGGCCAGGCCAGCUAAACACACAGACUGGAAAAAUGUGAAUUUGUGAGCUCGGAGUGAGGGGAUUGAUCUGCCUUGGUCCCUACACUGCUGCAUUUCAUGCAUUUCAUGCAUUUCAUGCAUUUCAUGGCCAGAGGGUGAAAAGCGAGCGCUAGGGAAUAUUUUGGGAUGUGCUCAGUGGGUCUGAGCAUGCUCUGGUGUUCCCUCCCUCAGCUUGAUUUUUGCCAGGCAGAUUUAUGUUAAUGUAAAGGUAAAAAUGAAUUUGUGUUAAUGUAAAGGUAAAAAUUGUUUAUGUUGAUGUAAAUGUAAAAAUGAAUUUGUGUUAAUGUAAAGGUAAAAAUUGUUUAUGUUAAUGUAAACGUAAAAAUGAAUUUGUGUUAGUGUAAAGGUAAAAAUUAUUUAUGUAAAUGUAAAGAUGAAUUUGUGUUAAUGUAAGUGUAAAGAUUAUUUGUGUUAAUGUAAAUGUAAAAAUGAAUUUGUGUUAGUGUAAAUGUGAAAAUUAUUUAUGUUAAUAUAAAUGUAAAAAUGAAUUUGUGUUAAUGUAAGUGUAAAAAUUAGUUAUGUUAAUGUAAAUAUAAAAAUGAAUGCAGGUGAGGGCAGUUGUGAAGAUCCAUUCAUAGAGUUUUGGGCUCACUCAAUAAAUACUGAGAUAAUUCAGGA
Vidua macroura (Pin-tailed whydah) is the source of this 1143-nucleotide long non-coding RNA. RefSeq lists it as uncharacterized. The transcript is spliced from 2 exons. The record is from RefSeq and is a predicted model, not a curated record. Lineage: Eukaryota; Metazoa; Chordata; Aves; Passeriformes; Viduidae.